CUUUUAAAUGGGAAAUAGACCCCCACUGGACUUAGAACCCAACCCUCCCGGUGCAAAUCCGAGUAAAAGCU
Molecule: transfer RNA, 71 nt
Filed under: Cornufer vitianus (Fiji ground frog)
Lineage: Eukaryota; Metazoa; Chordata; Amphibia; Anura; Ceratobatrachidae
Description: Platymantis vitianus (Fiji ground frog) tRNA-Leu
Source: RNAcentral